RNAcentral lists this ribosomal RNA (499 nucleotides) under uncultured Thermoplasmatales archaeon. RNAcentral describes it as "bacterial SSU rRNA". It matches the Rfam family "Archaeal small subunit ribosomal RNA", at positions 858 to 1338 of the family's 1478-position model. The record is from RNAcentral. Lineage: Archaea; Methanobacteriati; Thermoplasmatota; Thermoplasmata; Thermoplasmatales.
GCCUACGAAGUAAAACUUUAAAUAGAAUUGGACGGAGAGCACAGCGAACGGGAGGAGCGUGCGGUUCAAUUGGUAUCAACGACCGUAAACUCGACCGGAGCGACGAUUACAUGAAGGUCAGGCCGACGACUUUACCUGAUUUUCGAGAGGUGGUGCAUGGCCGUCGUCAGUUCGUACCGUAAGGCGUUCUGUUAAGUCAGAUAACGAACGAGACCCUCGUCCUUAAUUGCCAACCCAUUCUCCGGAGUGGGCGCACAUUAAGGGGACCGCUGGCGCUAAGUCAGAGGAAGGAGAGGUCAACGGUAGGUCAGUAUGCCCCGAAUCUCCCGGGCUACACGCGCGCUACAAAGGACAGGACAAUGGGAUGCAAUACCGAGAGGUAACGCCAACCCCGAAACCUGUUCGUAGUUCGGACUGAGGGCUGUAACUCGCCCUCACGAAGCUGGAUUCCGUAGUAAUCGCGGGUCAACAUCCCGCGGUGAAUAUGCCCCUGCUCUUU